AACAACGGGUGAUGUCACGGUUAGUUUACGCCUGUUUAGAAACGGAAGACCCGAAGGAGGACAACCAAUGGUCUGGUGCUGCUAAUCUUGAAAGGGAAGACUCAAGGAAGGACAACUGAUGGUCCGAGAUGCCUUGUAAGGAGAGGAGGUUGAAAGAAAAACAAAAGGAGCUGCGUGAGGCUGCGAAAGGCAGUGGAUCACUCACCAGCUGGAUCACAAAGAGCACAAAAGAUGGUCAGGGAGUGAGUCAUGACAGGUCAGAUGAGGAGACGGAAAUUCCAACAGAGGCACUGCAAGCUCUGAAGAAACUCUGCCAGGUCUACAACAUUGAAGAAGACGACAAACUGCAGAC
Molecule: long non-coding RNA, 352 nt
Organism: Acanthochromis polyacanthus (spiny chromis)
Lineage: Eukaryota; Metazoa; Chordata; Actinopteri; Pomacentridae
Exons: 3
Source: RefSeq, a predicted model, not a curated record